GUGUCCGCCUCCUUUGACACCUUCCUACCUCACCACCAGUAAAUUCUAGAAAAUUCAUCUUCACCACCACUACCCCAGGACUGUGAUCUCAGACUUCUGGAGUGAUCUGAGAGCUGAGAGUAGAACUCACUAUGUAAAAAAAAAAAGCCCUAGGUUCCAUCCUCAGUGUGAGAAGCAGGUGGAAGUGAUGCUCAGUGGUUAAGCACUUGCUGCUCUUGCAGAGGACUGGAGUUUGGUUCCCAGAGCCUAUAUCAAUGUAGUGUCUCAAAACUACCAGGAACUUGUGUUCGUGGAGAUGCGAUGCCCUUUCUGGCCUCUGAGGCCACCUGCGCGCGCGCACACACGCGCACACACACUUCUCUUUCUGUCUCUCUCUGUCUCUCUCUCUCUCUCACUCUCCCUCUCAAAUAAAAAAAAAACGCAUAAGUUA
Molecule: long non-coding RNA, 430 nt
Organism: Apodemus sylvaticus (European woodmouse)
Lineage: Eukaryota; Metazoa; Chordata; Mammalia; Rodentia; Muridae
Exons: 2
Source: RefSeq, a predicted model, not a curated record